Molecule: ribosomal RNA, 492 nt
Filed under: uncultured bacterium
Lineage: Bacteria
Description: partial 16S ribosomal RNA
Rfam family: Bacterial small subunit ribosomal RNA
Source: RNAcentral
AGUGAACGCUGGCGGUAGGCCUAACACAUGCAAGUCGAACGGCAGCACAGUAAGAGCUUGCUCUUACGGGUGGCGAGUGGCGGACGGGUGAGGAAUACAUCGGAAUCUACUUUUUCGUGGGGGAUAACGUAGGGAAACUUACGCUAAUACCGCAUACGACCUACGGGUGAAAGCAGGGGAUCUUCGGACCUUGCGCGAUUGAAUGAGCCGAUGUCGGAUUAGCUAGUUGGCGGGGUAAAGGCCCACCAAGGCGACGAUCCGUAGCUGGUCUGAGAGGAUGAUCAGCCACACUGGAACUGAGACACGGUCCAGACUCCUACGGGAGGCAGCAGUGGGGAAUAUUGGACAAUGGGCGCAAGCCUGAUCCAGCCAUACUGCGUGGGUGAAGAAGGCCUUCGGGUUGAAAAGCCCUUUUGUUGGGAAAGAAAAGCAGCAGGUUAAUACCCCGCUGUUCUGACGGUACCCAAAGAAUAAGCACCGGCUAACUUCGUG